RNAcentral lists this long non-coding RNA (679 nucleotides) under Lonchura striata (white-rumped munia). RNAcentral describes it as "domestica (Bengalese finch) lncRNA (ENSLSDG00000008488.1)". Lineage: Eukaryota; Metazoa; Chordata; Aves; Passeriformes; Estrildidae. The record is from RNAcentral.
UUAACCUCCUCAUUACCCUCCUCAUUAAUUAACCUCCUCAUUAAUUCCCCUCCUCUCCCUCCCCAUCUCCCUCUCCAUUUACCUCCCUCUUUCCUCUCCCUCUCCAUUUCUCUCCCCAUCUCCCUUCCUCUCUCCUCCUCCAUCUCCCUCUCCCUCUCCCCGUCUCCAUUCCCCUCCUUUCUCUCCCUCUCCCCGUCUCCAUCUCCCCGCCAUUUCUCUCUCUCCCUCCCCAUCUCCCUCACACUCUCCUCCCCAUCUCCAUCUCCCCCGCCAUUUCUCUCUCCCUCUCCCUCUCUCUCCCUCCAUCUCCAUCUCCCCGUCUCCAUUUCCCUCCUUUCUCUCCCUCUCCCCAUCUCCAUCUCCUUCGCCAUCUCCCCCAUUUCUCUCCCUCGUCUUUCCCUCUCCAUUUCUCUCUCCCUCUCUCCAUCUCCCUCCCUCUCCUCCUCCAUCUCCCCAUCUCCCUCUCCAUUUCUCUGUCUCCAUCUCCCUCUCCCCAUUUCCUUUCCCCUCCUCUCCCUCUCCAUCUCUCUCUCCCUCUCCAUUUCUCUCUCCCUCUCCAUUUCUCUCCCUCUCCAUUUCUCUCCUCCCUCUCUCCUCCCUCUCCUCCAUUUCUCCUCCUCCAUUCCUCCCUCCCCACCACGUGACCCAUCUGGCCCCGCCCCUUUUCCCGCCUUUUCCC